AUGCUACACGAAGAACCUUACCAACGGUUUGACAUGCAAGUGGUAGUGAUCUGAAAGGUGACCGACCCUUCGGGAGCUUGCACAGGUGCUGCAUGGCUGUCGUCAGCCCGUGUCGUGAGAUGUUCGGUUAAGUCCGCUAACGAGCGCAACCCUCGUCGUGUGUUAUACGUGUCACACGAUACUGCCGGUAUCAAGCCGGAGGAAGGUGGGGAUGAUGUCAAGUCAGCAUGGCCUUUAUAUCCUGGGCUACACACACGCUACAAUGGCAGAUACAAUAGGUUGCGAAACCGCGAGGUGGAGCCAAUCCUCAAAGUCUGUCUCAGUUCAGAUUGUAGGCUGCAACUCGCCUGCAUGAAGUUGGAGUUGCUAGUAAACGCAGGUCAGCUAUACUGCGUUGAAUACGUUCCCGGGGUUU
RNAcentral lists this ribosomal RNA (415 nucleotides) under uncultured Leptolinea sp. RNAcentral describes it as "bacterial SSU rRNA". It matches the Rfam family "Bacterial small subunit ribosomal RNA", at positions 954 to 1382 of the family's 1533-position model. The record is from RNAcentral. Lineage: Bacteria; Bacillati; Chloroflexota; Anaerolineae; Anaerolineales; Anaerolineaceae.